GGGGGUAUACCUCAGUGGUAGAGCAUUUGAAUGCAGAUCAAGAGGUCCCCAGUUCAAAUCUGGGUGCCCCCU
This 72-nucleotide transfer RNA is filed under the name Perca flavescens (yellow perch). It matches the Rfam family "tRNA". Rfam says of the family: Transfer RNA (tRNA) molecules are approximately 80 nucleotides in length. Their secondary structure includes four short double-helical elements and three loops (D, anti-codon, and T loops). The record is from Rfam by way of RNAcentral. Lineage: Eukaryota; Metazoa; Chordata; Actinopteri; Perciformes; Percidae.